AACGAACGCUGGCGGCAUGCCUAACACAUGCAAGUCGAACGAGACCUUCGGGUCUAGUGGCGCACGGGUGCGUAACGCGUGGGAACCUGCCCUUAGGUUCGGAAUAACUCCCCGAAAGGGGUGCUAAUACCGGAUAAUGUCUUCGGACCAAAGAUUUAUCGCCUUUGGAUGGGCCCGCGUUGGAUUAGCUAGUUGGUAGGGUAAAAGCCUACCAAGGCGACGAUCCAUAGCUGGUCUGAGAGGAUGAUCAGCCACACUGGGACUGAGACACGGCCCAGACUCCUACGGGAGGCAGCAGUGGGGAAUAUUGGACAAUGGGCGAAAGCCUGAACCAGCAAUGCCGGGUGAGUGAUGAAGGCCUUAGGGUUGUAAAGCUCUUUUACCCGGGAUGAUAAUGACAGUACCGGGAGAAUAAGCUCCGGCUAACUCCGUG
RNAcentral lists this ribosomal RNA (433 nucleotides) under uncultured bacterium. RNAcentral's name for it is "partial 16S ribosomal RNA". It matches the Rfam family "Bacterial small subunit ribosomal RNA", at positions 29 to 507 of the family's 1533-position model. The record is from RNAcentral.